RNAcentral lists this ribosomal RNA (253 nucleotides) under uncultured bacterium. Its description in RNAcentral is "partial 16S ribosomal RNA". It matches the Rfam family "Bacterial small subunit ribosomal RNA", at positions 524 to 776 of the family's 1533-position model. The record is from RNAcentral.
UACGUAGGGGGCAAGCGUUGUCCGGAAUCAUUGGGCGUAAAGAGCGUGUAGGCGGUCCGGUAAGUCGGCUGUGAAAGUCCAGGGCUCAACCCUGGGAUGCCGGUCGAUACUGCCGGACUAGAGUUCGGAAGAGGCGAGUGGAAUUCCCGGUGUAGCGGUGAAAUGCGCAGAUAUCGGGGGGAACACCUAUGGCGAAGGCAGCUCGCUGGGACGUUACUGACGCUGAGACGCGAAAGCGUGGGGAGCAAACAGG